RNAcentral lists this ribosomal RNA (1323 nucleotides) under human gut metagenome. RNAcentral describes it as "bacterial LSU rRNA". It matches the Rfam family "Bacterial large subunit ribosomal RNA", at positions 1493 to 2925 of the family's 2925-position model. The record is from RNAcentral.
AGAUACUGAUCGGUCUCGUGGGCUCGGAGAUGUGUAUAAGAGACAGGUAUUAUUAAAAAGGACUUAAACAAUUAAAGGAUAUACUUUAAUUAAAUUUAAUUCAAAAAACUUUUUUAUAAAACCGUACUAAAAACCAACGCAGGUAAAUGGGUAGAGUAUACUAAGACGAUAAAGUGAAUCAUAGUGAAGGAACUCGGCAAAUUAACCUUGUAACUUCGGAAGAAAAGGUUUUUAUUAAGUAUAUUACUUAAUAAAAUAAUAUAAAAGGGGGUAGCGACUGUUUAAUAAAAACACAGGACUUUGCUAAAUCGUAAGAUGAUGUAUAAGGUCUGACACCUGCCAGGAACUGUGUAGUUAAAAUUAAAGAUAAUUAUUUUUAAUAUAAGCAGCAGUAAUCGGCGGCCAUAACUCUGAUGGUCCUAAGGUAGCGAAAUUCCUUGUCAACUAAUUAUUGACGUGCAUGAAUGGUGUAACGACUUCCCCACUGUCUCCACUAUGAGCUUUGUGAAAUUGAAAUAUUCGUGAAGAUGCGAAUUAUAUAUGGUUAGACGGUAAGACCCCGUGCACCUUUACUACAAUUUUUUAUUGAUUAUUUUUAUAAAAUUGUGUAGAAUAAGUGGGAGUUUAAAUUUAGUUUUAAACAACAAUGAAAUACCACUCGUUUUAUGAUUAAUAACUAACUUUAAAAAAAAAUUUAAAGGACAUAUAUAAGAUUGGUAGUUUAACUGGGGUGGUUUUCUCCAAAAAGGUAACGGAGAAAUAUAAAGGUAAAUUAAUAAUUAUUGUUGUAAUAAUUAUUUAUGUAUAAUGGCUAAAAUUUGCUUGACUGUAAGAUUGACAAAUCAAACAGAAACGAAAGUUGAUCAUAAUGACCCGGUAAUUCUUUAUGGAAAGGUUAUCGAUCAAUGGAUAAAAGGUACGCCGGGGAUAACAGGCUGAUAAUUCUCUAGAGCUCAUAUCGACGGAAUUGUUUGGCACCUCGAUGUCGGCUCAUCACAUCCUAGAGCUGAAGAAGGUUCUAAGGGUUUGGCUGUUCGCCAAUUAAAGUGGUACGUGAGCUGGGUUUAAAACGUCGUGAGACAGUUUUGUCCCUAUCUGCCAUAUAAUAAAGAAAAGAAGAAAAGAAUAAUUCUAGUACGAGAGGACCGAAUUAGAUUGAUCAAUGGUAUAUAAGUUAUAAAUUCUCAAUUUGUAUUGCUUAGUAGCUAAAUCAAUGAAAGAUAAAUACUGAAUAAAUAUAAGUAUGAAGCUUUUUUUCUUAUUUUCUCAAAAAAAAGUAAGAGACUAUUACUUUCUGUCUCUUAUACACAUCUCCGAGCCCAC